AACUUACUCCUCAGUCUCGAAUUACCUGUCUUGCAUUUGUCUAGAUACGAAUGUAUUUAGACAUAUUUUUGUGUUAGAUACAUUCGUAUGUAGAUAAAUCUAAGACAAGUAAUUUAGGACGAAGGUAAUACUAC
Molecule: non-coding RNA, 134 nt
Organism: Triticum aestivum (bread wheat)
Lineage: Eukaryota; Viridiplantae; Streptophyta; Magnoliopsida; Poales; Poaceae
Source: Rfam